GUUGGUCUGUGAUGAUCAGUUUCUUACCUACAUUGUUUGAGCAGUAUGCAGUGAUACUACAAAAAUGACUGAGAUCAAC
Lingula anatina is the source of this 79-nucleotide non-coding RNA. The record is from Rfam. Lineage: Eukaryota; Metazoa; Brachiopoda; Lingulata; Lingulida; Lingulidae.